CUGAUCAGCCAUGCCGCGUGUGUGAAGAAGGCCUUUUGGUUGUAAAGCACUUUAAGUGGGGAGGAGGCUUACCUGGUUAAUACCUGGGAUAAGUGGACGUUACCCGCAGAAUAAGCACCGGCUAACUCUGUGCCAGCAGCCGCGGUAAU
This 149-nucleotide ribosomal RNA is filed under the name uncultured bacterium. RNAcentral describes it as "partial 16S ribosomal RNA". It matches the Rfam family "Bacterial small subunit ribosomal RNA", at positions 383 to 524 of the family's 1533-position model. The record is from RNAcentral.